UACAGAGGGGGCAAGCGUUAUUCGGAAUUAUUGGGCGUAAAGAGCUUGUAGGCGGUUUGUCGUGUCUGCUGUGAAAAUCCGGGGCUCAACCCCGGACUUGCAGUGGGUACGGGCAGGCUAGAGUGUGGUAGGGGAGACUGGAAUUCCUGGUGUAGCGGUGAAAUGCGCAGAUAUCAGGAGGAACACCGAUGGCGAAGGCAGGUCUCUGGGCCACGACUGACGCUGAGAAGCGAAAGCGUGGGGAGCAAAAAGG
This 253-nucleotide ribosomal RNA is filed under the name uncultured bacterium. RNAcentral's name for it is "partial 16S ribosomal RNA". It matches the Rfam family "Bacterial small subunit ribosomal RNA", at positions 524 to 776 of the family's 1533-position model. The record is from RNAcentral.